AUUGAACGCUGGCGGCAUGCUUUACACAUGCAAGUCGAACGGCAGCGCGGUCUUCGCCCUCUCGUCCAGUUGCGGACUGGCGAGUGAUGCAUCGGAACGUGCGCAGUUACUUGUGAUAGCGCGGCGACAUACGGAUUCAUACCCCAUACCACCAGACGAUGUAAGGGGGGGAGCGAAAGGCCUUGCGCCCUUGCACCGUCCGAUGUCGGAUUAGCUGGUUGGUGGGGUAAAGGCCUACCAAGGCGACGAGCCGUCGCUGGUCUGCGAGGCUGACCAGCCACACUGGGACUGGGACACGGUCCAGACUCCUCAGGGGGGGAGCAGGGGGGAAUAUUGGACAAUGGGGGCAAGCCUGAUCCAGCCAUACCGCGUGGGGGAAGAAGGCCUUCGGGUUGUAAAGCCCUUUUGUUGGGGAAGAAAAGCCGCAGGUUAAUACCCCGCUGGUGUGACGGUACCCAAAGAAUAAGCACCGGCUAACUUCGUG
This 484-nucleotide ribosomal RNA is filed under the name uncultured bacterium. Its description in RNAcentral is "partial 16S ribosomal RNA". It matches the Rfam family "Bacterial small subunit ribosomal RNA", at positions 30 to 507 of the family's 1533-position model. The record is from RNAcentral.